Coffea arabica (coffee) is the source of this 107-nucleotide small nucleolar RNA. Lineage: Eukaryota; Viridiplantae; Streptophyta; Magnoliopsida; Gentianales; Rubiaceae. The record is from RefSeq and is a predicted model, not a curated record.
AUUUGAUGUUAUGGACAUCUUGUACACAGGUUCUUAAACCUCCCCCAUUAUUCAUAUAAGGACUCACCAUGUAGCUGUUUGAUAGCACAAAUUUAUUUCCUUAAACU